GUUCCUUGAACUACGAAGCUCUGAAUUCAUCAUUGCACUAUGAGGAUACGUAGGCAUGAGGGCCCUAAUCCUCACUGAGCACUCUAUCUAUUUCUUUUCCUUUCCCUUUCUAUUUCUUUUCCUUUCCCAUGGAUGUUUGGGGUGCUAAUACUUUCCCCUUGCAUAACCGACUUCCUUACCCACUAUAUCUCUUUCCCCUCGGGUUUUAUCGAUGUUUUCC
This 220-nucleotide long non-coding RNA is filed under the name Lathyrus oleraceus (garden pea). RNAcentral's name for it is "Pisum sativum (pea) long non-coding RNA (PSAT_LNC040725)". Lineage: Eukaryota; Viridiplantae; Streptophyta; Magnoliopsida; Fabales; Fabaceae. The record is from RNAcentral.